UAGAGAGGGUCUGCGCAGGCGCACUCUACCCAGGGCUUCCUGUAAGUGCUCGCUUGCUGGGCAGAAUCCAUUAUCUCCCUGGGAUACCCCAUUAUAGCUUAGCGGGAUGGAAACCAUGGUGCCCUGUUCUUGGAACUGAGGAGGAGCAAACUAAGAGCAGUGUCUGCAUGCUGUCCUGCAAUCAUUUUGGAGCUGACGACCAUUUCAACUUCAGUGGGGAGGACCCACGUUCAGUGCCAUCUGAAGCCCCCACUGCUCUCUCCCCACAGGGGAUUCCAACCAGGAAGGUUUUAGGCGUCCAGUUUUUCUACCCCACGUGCUUCACCUUCUGUCUUCAUCCAGAAGAUCUGGGUUCCACCGUGAAGGGUGGACAGCUGCUCAGCAUCAUCUGGCCUGUGUCUGCUGCACACACCUCCUCUUACCCAUAUGGCUGCAGUUAGCUUUUCUCUAACUCUUCAUGGAAAUUACAACUAAAAGAAAAUGUUACCAUUUUCCACGGGA
Molecule: long non-coding RNA, 501 nt
Organism: Mus musculus (house mouse)
Lineage: Eukaryota; Metazoa; Chordata; Mammalia; Rodentia; Muridae
Product: predicted gene, 32137
Exons: 2
Source: RefSeq, a predicted model, not a curated record